Long non-coding RNA from Marmota monax (woodchuck), 1486 nucleotides. RefSeq lists it as uncharacterized. The record is from RefSeq and is a predicted model, not a curated record. Lineage: Eukaryota; Metazoa; Chordata; Mammalia; Rodentia; Sciuridae. The transcript has 4 exons.
GUCCCCAGGAGGCCUGCCGCACCUGAGCCCCUCCGCCCCCCCCCCCCAGAACCGAGGGACGGAAACGGCCAGGAGCGCCCACAUCCUGUUGUCCCCGCGUCUGCCUGAGAAGUCGGGGACACGGUGUCCCCCGCUUGGCCCAGGGCCUCCCUCCUGCUUCUCCAGGAAGGAAAGAGAAGGGGUUUCAUGAGGGCAAGGAAGCCUCGCCCGUGCCUCUGUCCCCCUGCCUUCCUCCCCUUCCCCGCCCGCUACGGCGAGUGUGCGGUGGCCAGUGUGCGCGUGUCCCGCCCUCUCAGCCUUCAGGUUGCUUCUCCUGGUGGUCACUGAGGUCUCCUGGGAAACACGCCGUACACCUGUGUGAAGGGACAGUCUCCCCACGCCCGCCCCCGCCCCCCAAGCUGAUCCGAACCCCCACAGGAAAGAGCAGAGCUUGUGGGGAACCAUGUAGCUGGAAUGGACUUGGCCCUGGGGACAUGCCCUGUAUGAUACUGACUUGAUGACAUCUAGUGGGAAGUCCUGAAGGUUCUUCUGCCAGAUGCCACACACCACAUCCCAACUGCCCUGCUUUCUCUGCCACUCCUCAAGGCUCAGGCUCUGAAGUAAGGCUGUCAGCUCCCAGACAAAGUCAGACUGUGGCUGAGAUUACUGGAAGUGGCUGUGAUGCCCAUCAGCAGAUGAUAGAGAUGGGCUUCCUGGAACUGCCACUAACCUCCUGCAGACCAGGCUCCAUGUCCCAGCAGGUCCCAGCCCAGGCCCAACCUACAGCCAUAACCAUGGAAGGCAGGUGGCCUCAGGUGCUGACAGCUGCUUUGGUCUCCAUGGAAGCAGAAGCCCCGCUGGAAGUACCUGCAGACCUGGGGCACCUUUCUGUCAUAAGCAUGGCAACUUGACCCCCAGUGAUCAUCCUUGAAUGGCAGCUGGGAACGGGGCUUGUUCUCCCUACCGUGACUGUAGUCAUCCUUCCCUGCAGCGUCCAUCCCAGCUGCAGGUCCUGUGAGCCUCCAUUCAUUUUCAAACACCUAUUGAUCAAUUUGGAUUUUAUGUGAUUUUAUAUAUAUAGAAACAUACAGCAUGUUCUCUGUUUUGGUUUGGCUUUGCUGUAUGGUUUGGAUGUGGCUUGUCCCCAAGAGUUCAUAUAUUGGAGGCUUGGGUCCUUAGUAUGGCAGUGGUGAAACAGUGGGACUUUGUAGAGGUAGGUCCUUGUGGAAUGUCUUUAGGUUAUUGGGGCUUUGCCUCAAGAGGGAUUAAAGUAGUUUUCCUGAGACCUGAGUUAGUUUAAUCAGAGCAAAUCACUCUAAGAGAGACUAACCUGGAAUCUCUCUCUGGCUUCCUAUGUCUCUCCAUAUGAUCUUGCCCUCUCAUAUUGCAGUCUCAGCAUUGUGAUGCCCUCUGCCACAAGUUCCUCACCAGAACCAAGCCAAUGCAGGUGCCAGACCCUUGAACCUUCAAAAUUGUGUUAAAUAAACCUCUUUUCUUUACGAAGUUA